RNAcentral lists this transfer RNA (60 nucleotides) under Mus musculus (house mouse). It matches the Rfam family "tRNA", at positions 7 to 64 of the family's 71-position model. Rfam says of the family: Transfer RNA (tRNA) molecules are approximately 80 nucleotides in length. Their secondary structure includes four short double-helical elements and three loops (D, anti-codon, and T loops). Further hydrogen bonds mediate the characteristic L-shaped molecular structure. tRNAs have two regions of fundamental functional importance: the anti-codon, which is responsible for specific mRNA codon recognition, and the 3' end, to which the tRNAs corresponding amino acid is attached (by aminoacyl-tRNA synthetases). tRNAs cope with the degeneracy of the genetic code in two manners: having more than one tRNA (with a specific anti-codon) for a particular amino acid; and 'wobble' base-pairing, i.e. permitting non-standard base-pairing at the 3rd anti-codon position. Lineage: Eukaryota; Metazoa; Chordata; Mammalia; Rodentia; Muridae. RNAcentral also lists the same sequence under 1 other name. The record is from Rfam by way of RNAcentral.
GUAGCUCAGUUGAUAGAGUGUUUGCCUGGCAUGCAAGAAACCCUGGGUUCAAUCCCCGGC